GGCAAGUCGCACGGACCUUUCGGGGUGAGUGGCGGACGGGUGAGUAUCGCGUAGGGAUCUAUCCAUGGGUGGGGGAUAACAUCGGGAAACUGGUGCUAAUACCGCAUGAUACCUGAGGGUCAAAGGCGCAAGUCGCCUGUGGAGGAGCCUGCGUUCGAUUAGCUUGUUGGUGGGGUAAAGGCCUACCAAGGCGAUGAUCGAUAGCUGGUCUGAGAGGAUGAUCAGCCACACUGGGACUGAGACACGGCCCAGACUCCUACGGGAGGCAGCAGUGGGGAAUAUUGGACAAUGGGCGAAAGCCUGAUCCAGCAAUGCCGCGUGUGUGAAGGAGGUCUUCGGAUUGUAAAGCACUUUCGACGGGGACGAUGAUGACGGUACCCGUAGAAGAAGCCCCGGCUAACUUCGUGCCAGCAGCCGCGGUAAUACGAAGGGGGCUAGCGUUGCUCGGAAUGACUGGGCGUAAAGGGCGCGUAGGCGGUUUACACAGUCAGAUGUGAAAUUCCAGGGCUUAACCUUGGGGCUGCAUUUGAUACGUGUAGACUAGAGUGUGAGAGAGGGUUGUGGAAUUCCCAGUGUAGAGGUGAAAUUCGUAGAUAUUGGGAAGAACACCGGUGGCGAAGGCGGCAACCUGGCUCAUUACUGACGCUGAGGCGCGAAAGCGUGGGGAGCAAACAGGAUUGGAUACCCUGGUAGUCCACGCUGUAAACGAUGUGUGCUGGAUGUUGGGUAACUUAGUUACUCAGUGUCGAAGCUAACGCGCUAAGCACACCGCCUGGGGAGUACGGCCGCAAGGUUUGAAACUCAAAGGAAUUGACGGGGGCCCCGCACAAGCGGUGGAGCAUGUGGUUUAAUUCGAAGCAACCGCGCAGAACCUUACCAGGGCUUGACAUGGGGAG
This 896-nucleotide ribosomal RNA is filed under the name uncultured bacterium. Its description in RNAcentral is "bacterial SSU rRNA". It matches the Rfam family "Bacterial small subunit ribosomal RNA", at positions 56 to 993 of the family's 1533-position model. The record is from RNAcentral.